Molecule: transfer RNA, 67 nt
Filed under: Teratoscincus roborowskii
Lineage: Eukaryota; Metazoa; Chordata; Lepidosauria; Squamata; Sphaerodactylidae
Description: tRNA-Pro
Rfam family: tRNA
About the family: Transfer RNA (tRNA) molecules are approximately 80 nucleotides in length. Their secondary structure includes four short double-helical elements and three loops (D, anti-codon, and T loops). Further hydrogen bonds mediate the characteristic L-shaped molecular structure. tRNAs have two regions of fundamental functional importance: the anti-codon, which is responsible for specific mRNA codon recognition, and the 3' end, to which the tRNAs corresponding amino acid is attached (by aminoacyl-tRNA synthetases). tRNAs cope with the degeneracy of the genetic code in two manners: having more than one tRNA (with a specific anti-codon) for a particular amino acid; and 'wobble' base-pairing, i.e. permitting non-standard base-pairing at the 3rd anti-codon position.
Source: RNAcentral
CAAAAAAUAGUUUAAGUUAAAAUGCUAGUUUUGGGGGCUAGUGUUGAGGGUUGCUCCUCUUUUUUGA